CCUACGGGAGGCUGCAGUAGGGAAUAUUGCUCAAUGGGGGAAACCCUGAAGCAGCAACGCCGCGUGGAGGAUGAAGGUUUUCGGAUUGUAAACUCCUUUUGUUAGAGAAGAUAAUGACGGUAUCUAACGAAUAAGCACCGGCUAACUCCGUGCCAGCAGCCGCGGUAAUACGGAGGGUGCAAGCGUUACUCGGAAUCACUGGGCGUAAAGAGCGCGUAGGCGGGAUAGCAAGUCAGAUGUGAAAUCCUAUGGCUUAACCAUAGAACUGCAUUUGAAACUGUUAUUCUAGAGUAUGGGAGAGGUAGGUGGAAUUCUUGGUGUAGGGGUGAAAUGCGUAGAUAUCAGGAGGAACACCGGUGGCGAAGGCGGCCUGCUGGACUGCAACUGACGUUGAGGCCCGAAAGCGUGGGGAGCAAACAGGAUUAGAUACCCCUGUAGUC
RNAcentral lists this ribosomal RNA (440 nucleotides) under uncultured bacterium. RNAcentral describes it as "partial 16S ribosomal RNA". It matches the Rfam family "Bacterial small subunit ribosomal RNA", at positions 338 to 795 of the family's 1533-position model. The record is from RNAcentral.